This 72-nucleotide transfer RNA is filed under the name Camelus bactrianus (Bactrian camel). It matches the Rfam family "tRNA". Rfam says of the family: Transfer RNA (tRNA) molecules are approximately 80 nucleotides in length. Their secondary structure includes four short double-helical elements and three loops (D, anti-codon, and T loops). Lineage: Eukaryota; Metazoa; Chordata; Mammalia; Artiodactyla; Camelidae. RNAcentral also lists the same sequence under 2 other names. The record is from Rfam by way of RNAcentral.
GGGUAUAUAGCUCAGUGGUAUAGUGUGUGUUUAGCAUGCACAAGGUCAUGGGUUCAAUUCCCAGUACAUCCA